RNAcentral lists this transfer RNA (77 nucleotides) under Pseudomonadota bacterium. RNAcentral describes it as "Proteobacteria bacterium (cold seep metagenome) tRNA-Arg". It matches the Rfam family "tRNA". From Rfam's summary of the family: Transfer RNA (tRNA) molecules are approximately 80 nucleotides in length. Lineage: Bacteria; Pseudomonadati; Pseudomonadota. The record is from RNAcentral.
GCGCCUGUGGCUCAGCUGGAUAGAGCGACGGACUACGAAUCCGUAGGUCGGGGGUUCGAAUCCCUCCAGGCGCACCA